RNAcentral lists this ribosomal RNA (2928 nucleotides) under Salmonella enterica. RNAcentral's name for it is "23S ribosomal RNA". It matches the Rfam family "Bacterial large subunit ribosomal RNA". The record is from RNAcentral. Lineage: Bacteria; Pseudomonadati; Pseudomonadota; Gammaproteobacteria; Enterobacterales; Enterobacteriaceae.
GGGUUGUGAGGUUAAGCGACUAAGCGUACACGGUGGAUGCCCUGGCAGUCAGAGGCGAUGAAGGGCGUGCUAAUCUGCGAUAAGCGCCGGUAAGGUGAUAUGAACCGUUAUAACCGGCGAUACCCGAAUGGGGAAACCCAGUGUGACUCGUCACACUAUCAUUAACUGAAUCCAUAGGUUAAUGAGGCGAACCGGGGGAACUGAAACAUCUAAGUACCCCGAGGAAAAGAAAUCAACCGAGAUUCCCCCAGUAGCGGCGAGCGAACGGGGAGGAGCCCAGAGCCUGAAUCAGCAUGUGUGUUAGUGGAAGCGUCUGGAAAGGCGCGCGAUACAGGGUGACAGCCCCGUACACAAAAGCGCAUGUGCUGUGAGCUCGAUGAGUAGGGCGGGACACGUGGUAUCCUGUCUGAAUAUGGGGGGACCAUCCUCCAAGGCUAAAUACUCCUGACUGACCGAUAGUGAACCAGUACCGUGAGGGAAAGGCGAAAAGAACCCCGGCGAGGGGAGUGAAAAAGAACCUGAAACCGUGUACGUACAAGCAGUGGGAGCACAGGUUUACCUGUGUGACUGCGUACCUUUUGUAUAAUGGGUCAGCGACUUAUAUUCUGUAGCAAGGUUAACCGUAUAGGGGAGCCGGAGGGAAACCGAGUCUUAACCGGGCGUUAAGUUGCAGGGUAUAGACCCGAAACCCGGUGAUCUAGCCAUGGGCAGGUUGAAGGUUGGGUAACACUAACUGGAGGACCGAACCGACUAAUGUUGAAAAAUUAGCGGAUGACCUGUGGCUGGGGGUGAAAGGCCAAUCAAACCGGGAGAUAGCUGGUUCUCCCCGAAAGCUAUUUAGGUAGCGCCUCGUGAAUUCAUCUCCGGGGGUAGAGCACUGUUUCGGCUAGGGGGCCAUCCCGGCUUACCAACCCGAUGCAAACUGCGAAUACCGGAGAAUGUUAUCACGGGAGACACACGGCGGGUGCUAACGUCCGUCGUGAAGAGGGAAACAACCCAGACCGCCAGCUAAGGUCCCAAAGUCAUGGUUAAGUGGGAAACGAUGUGGGAAGGCCCAGACAGCCAGGAUGUUGGCUUAGAAGCAGCCAUCAUUUAAAGAAAGCGUAAUAGCUCACUGGUCGAGUCGGCCUGCGCGGAAGAUGUAACGGGGCUAAACCAUGCACCGAAGCUGCGGCAGCGACACUGUGUGUUGUUGGGUAGGGGAGCGUUCUGUAAGCCUGUGAAGGUGUGUCGUGAGGCAUGCUGGAGGUAUCAGAAGUGCGAAUGCUGACAUAAGUAACGAUAAAGCGGGUGAAAAGCCCGCUCGCCGGAAGACCAAGGGUUCCUGUCCAACGUUAAUCGGGGCAGGGUGAGUCGACCCCUAAGGCGAGGCCGAAAGGCGUAGUCGAUGGGAAACGGGUUAAUAUUCCCGUACUUGGUGUUACUGCGAAGGGGGGACGGAGAAGGCUAUGUUGGCCGGGCGACGGUUGUCCCGGUUUAAGCGUGUAGGUGUGUGUUCCAGGUAAAUCCGGUUCACUUUAACACUGAGGCGUGACGACGAGGCACUACGGUGCUGAAGCAACAAAUGCCCUGCUUCCAGGAAAAGCCUCUAAGCAUCAGGUAACAUCAAAUCGUACCCCAAACCGACACAGGUGGUCAGGUAGAGAAUACCAAGGCGCUUGAGAGAACUCGGGUGAAGGAACUAGGCAAAAUGGUGCCGUAACUUCGGGAGAAGGCACGCUGACACGUAGGUGAAGUGAUUUACUCACGGAGCUGAAGUCAGUCGAAGAUACCAGCUGGCUGCAACUGUUUAUUAAAAACACAGCACUGUGCAAACACGAAAGUGGACGUAUACGGUGUGACGCCUGCCCGGUGCCGGAAGGUUAAUUGAUGGGGUCAGCGCAAGCGAAGCUCCUGAUCGAAGCCCCGGUAAACGGCGGCCGUAACUAUAACGGUCCUAAGGUAGCGAAAUUCCUUGUCGGGUAAGUUCCGACCUGCACGAAUGGCGUAAUGAUGGCCAGGCUGUCUCCACCCGAGACUCAGUGAAAUUGAACUCGCUGUGAAGAUGCAGUGUACCCGCGGCAAGACGGAAAGACCCCGUGAACCUUUACUAUAGCUUGACACUGAACAUUGAGCCUUGAUGUGUAGGAUAGGUGGGAGGCUUUGAAGUGUGGACGCCAGUCUGCAUGGAGCCGACCUUGAAAUACCACCCUUUAAUGUUUGAUGUUCUAACGUGGACCCGUAAUCCGGGUUGCGGACAGUGUCUGGUGGGUAGUUUGACUGGGGCGGUCUCCUCCUAAAGAGUAACGGAGGAGCACGAAGGUUGGCUAAUCCUGGUCGGACAUCAGGAGGUUAGUGCAAUGGCAUAAGCCAGCUUGACUGCGAGCGUGACGGCGCGAGCAGGUGCGAAAGCAGGUCAUAGUGAUCCGGUGGUUCUGAAUGGAAGGGCCAUCGCUCAACGGAUAAAAGGUACUCCGGGGAUAACAGGCUGAUACCGCCCAAGAGUUCAUAUCGACGGCGGUGUUUGGCACCUCGAUGUCGGCUCAUCACAUCCUGGGGCUGAAGUAGGUCCCAAGGGUAUGGCUGUUCGCCAUUUAAAGUGGUACGCGAGCUGGGUUUAGAACGUCGUGAGACAGUUCGGUCCCUAUCUGCCGUGGGCGCUGGAGAACUGAGGGGGGCUGCUCCUAGUACGAGAGGACCGGAGUGGACGCAUCACUGGUGUUCGGGUUGUCAUGCCAAUGGCACUGCCCGGUAGCUAAAUGCGGAAGAGAUAAGUGCUGAAAGCAUCUAAGCACGAAACUUGCCCCGAGAUGAGUUCUCCCUGAGACUUAGAGUCUCCUGAAGGAACGUUGAAGACGACGACGUUGAUAGGCCGGGUGUGUAAGCGCAGCGAUGCGUUGAGCUAACCGGUACUAAUGAACCGUGAGGCUUAACCUUACAACGCCGAAG